AAUAGAACCUUCGAAGUCAACCAUGUAGACAAAUGAGAAAAUAUCCUUUGUCUGCAGAAGGCAGCUAUCUGACACUAACAUGGAGGUCUGACUUGGACAGCUGGCUAAAACUGAUAGUUCCCCUCCAUACAAC
Molecule: non-coding RNA, 133 nt
Organism: Cricetulus griseus (Chinese hamster)
Lineage: Eukaryota; Metazoa; Chordata; Mammalia; Rodentia; Cricetidae
Product: small Cajal body-specific RNA 3
Source: Ensembl